GUAUAGGUGAAGUCAUGUUUAGAGGCAACACAAUCAUGAAUGGAUACCUUAAGAACAUAAAAGCAACAGAGGAUGCCUUUAAGGGUGGCUGGUUCCGAAGUGGGGACUUGGCAGUGAGACACCCUGAUGGAUACAUAGAAAUCAAGGACCGGUCGAAGGACAUAAUCAUCUCCGGGGGAGAAAACAUUAGCUCAAUUGAAGUCGAAUCGGUGCUUUAUAGCCAUCCGGCAGUAGUGGAGGCAGCUGUGGUGGCAAGACCAGAUGAUUAUUGGGGGGAGACACCUUGUGCAUUUGUGAAGUUGAAGGACGGGUACAGAGUCAGUGCCGAAGAGAUUAUCAAGCAUUGUCGAGACAACUUGCCACAUUACAUGGCUCCUCGAACGGUGAUUUUCGAGGAUUUGCCCAAGACUUCGACCGGAAAGACACAGAAAUAUGUUCUACGAGAGAAGGCCAAGGCAUUAGGAAGCAUUUCGAAGAAUAAAAGCAAACUGUAGGUGCCCAUGAGUACGAGAGAACUUUGUACUUGGGGUUGAAUUUGAAA
Molecule: long non-coding RNA, 541 nt
Organism: Hibiscus syriacus
Lineage: Eukaryota; Viridiplantae; Streptophyta; Magnoliopsida; Malvales; Malvaceae
Exons: 3
Source: RefSeq, a predicted model, not a curated record